Non-coding RNA from Ictidomys tridecemlineatus (thirteen-lined ground squirrel), 1307 nucleotides. The record is from RefSeq and is a predicted model, not a curated record. Lineage: Eukaryota; Metazoa; Chordata; Mammalia; Rodentia; Sciuridae.
UUUCCGUGAAUUUCAUGUUGCACCAGGCUGUCCUGAUGCGCUUGGUUUAGCUUUCCAAACUUUAAUUGGAAUUCCCAGAGGUGGGUCCCUAAGGUCUGCAACUUGAGCGAGUGCCUCCGUUGACUCCUGUAAACAGCAUCUGCAUUGCAGCCACGGAACUGGGCUUCCCAAAACAAAUGAGAGCAACGGCUUCCCUAGUUAAUACCACCUCUCUAGCAAGGUACACCUGUGUCCUUCAUCAUCUGCCUUCUGCCUACCUGACCAGACUCAGGAGACUGGUGGGAGCACUAGGACAAGCGGGACCUCCCCAGGGGUCCUGCUGAGUGUCCAUAGUCCUUCUGCCUGUGAGAACCUGCUGCUGUCUCAUGGACUGCCUCCCACCACACUGACCAGGUCGUUCCCAGAUGAAAUGACUGAGAAGACUUCUCCUCCAGAAAGGCCUCAGCACCUUGGAAUGAGAUGGAGCUGGCCAGGGGACGGACAGCAGCCUCUGCCCUCUCUGUGGCAGCACAGCAGACGCCUCCUGUCAGCAUUCUCCUCCUGACCCUGUGCAGCACCCCAGGGCCCCGUGCCUCCUGCCCUCUGCUGGCCUCUCUGGCUCCCUGUGCCCUUUCACAAUAGAACAAGGGUGCUUAGUGUGGCUUCUCUCCUCAGAGAGGCAGAUUCUGUGCCUUAUCAGGCCGCUGGACAGUCACCCCCUGGGGGAUUCAGGAGUGUUUCUGAGUGUGUCCAGCUCUUCUCCCUCUCUUGUCCUGGAGCCCUGGCUUUGACAAUGGCACUGGGACCCCCCUCCCUCCCUCCACUUCCUACACUUGGCUCCAUAAGCCCUCUCGUCCAGUGCUGGCCCUCUCUCACAGCCCGUCACAGGCAUCUCCUGAUGCCCACUCCCAACCCCCCACCGCCACUCCACCCGCCGCCCACCGCCCCUGCCUCUCAGGCUCUGUAUUCUUCCUAGAGCAGGUGCACCACACAGAGACCAGGGGCACUGGGUAUGUUGUUUGGGUUUCAUUAUAACUUAUUGCAAAAACCUUAAUUGAGUUCUUAUUCAAGGACAUCAGUUACUGCUGUUGUUAUUAUUAUUGUUAUCCCUAUUAUUAUCCCUAUUAUCAUUUUUCUAAAAGGACUGUAUAUUUACCUCAUCUGUGAAAUUAAUGCAAUUAUAACUCCUUCAAAAGCUUUUUGAUCAGCAUUUCCUGUGUGUGUGUAUCCACACCUGGCUUCAAAGUACUUGCUAUUGAAACAUCUCUGCAGUGGAAAUUGUAAGCCCUAUUUUACAUGUAAUAAAGGAGAAGUUUCCAUUAAACAUA